CUUUGGGGUGUGACUGCGUACCUUUUGUAUAAUGGGUCAGCGACUUAUAUUCUGUAGCAAGGUUAACCGUAUAGGGGAGCCGCAGGGAAACCGAGUCUUAAUUGGGCGUUAAGUUGCAGGGUAUAGACCCGAAACCCGGUGAUCUAGCCAUGGGCAGGUUGAAGGUUGGGUAACACUAACUGGAGGACCGAACCGACUAAUGUUGAAAAAUUAGCGGAUGACCUGUGGCUGGGGGUGAAAGGCCAAUCAAACCGGGAGAUAGCUGGUUCUCCCCGAAAGCUAUUUAGGUAGCGCCUCGUGAAUUCAUCUCCGGGGGUAGAGCACUGUUUCGGCUAGGGGGCCAUCCCGGCUUACCAACCCGAUGCAAACUGCGAAUACCGGAGAAUGUUAUCACGGGAGACACACGGCGGGUGCUAACGUCCGUCGUGAAGAGGGAAACAACCCAGACCGCCAGCUAAGGUCCCAAAGUCAUGGUUAAGUGGGAAACGAUGUGGGAAGGCCCAGACAGCCAGGAUGUUGGCUUAGAAGCAGCCAUCAUUUAAAGAAAGCGUAAUAGCUCACUGGUCGAGUCGGCCUGCGCGGAAGAUGUAACGGGGCUAAACCAUGCACCGAAGCUGCGGCAGCGACGCUGAUGCGUUGUUGGGUAGGGGAGCGUUCUGUAAGCCUGUGAAGGUGGCCUGUGAGGGUUGCUGGAGGUAUCAGAAGUGCGAAUGCUGACAUAAGUAACGAUAAAGCGGGUGAAAAGCCCGCUCGCCGGAAGACCAAGGGUUCCUGUCCAACGUUAAUCGGGGCAGGGUGAGUCGACCCCUAAGGCGAGGCCGAAAGGCGUAGUCGAUGGGAAACGGGUUAAUAUUCCCGUACUUGGUGUUACUGCGAAGGGGGGACGGAGAAGGCUAUGUUGGCCGGGCGACGGUUGUCCCGGUUUAAGCGUGUAGGUGUGUGUUCCAGGUAAAUCCGGUUCACUUUAACACUGAGGCGUGACGACGAGGCACUACGGUGCUGAAGCAACAAAUGCCCUGCUUCCAGGAAAAGCCUCUAAGCAUCAGGUAACAUCAAAUCGUACCCCAAACCGACACAGGUGGUCAGGUAGAGAAUACCAAGGCGCUUGAGAGAACUCGGGUGAAGGAACUAGGCAAAAUGGUGCCGUAACUUCGGGAGAAGGCACGCUGACACGUAGGUGAAGUGAUUUACUCACGGAGCUGAAGUCAGUCGAAGAUACCAGCUGGCUGCAACUGUUUAUUAAAAACACAGCACUGUGCAAACACGAAAGUGGACGUAUACGGUGUGACGCCUGCCCGGUGCCGGAAGGUUAAUUGAUGGGGUCAGCGCAAGCGAAGCUCCUGAUCGAAGCCCCGGUAAACGGCGGCCGUAACUAUAACGGUCCUAAGGUAGCGAAAUUCCUUGUCGGGUAAGUUCCGACCUGCACGAAUGGCGUAAUGAUGGCCAGGCUGUCUCCACCCGAGACUCAGUGAAAUUGAACUCGCUGUGAAGAUGCAGUGUACCCGCGGCAAGACGGAAAGACCCCGUGAACCUUUACUAUAGCUUGACACUGAACAUUGAGCCUUGAUGUGUAGGAUAGGUGGGAGGCUUUGAAGUGUGGACGCCAGUCUGCAUGGAGCCGACCUUGAAAUACCACCCUUUAAUGUUUGAUGUUCUAACGUGGACCCGUGAUCCGGGUUGCGGACAGUGUCUGGUGGGUAGUUUGACUGGGGCGGUCUCCUCCUAAAGAGUAACGGAGGAGCACGAAGGUUGGCUAAUCCUGGUCGGACAUCAGGAGGUUAGUGCAAUGGCAUAAGCCAGCUUGACUGCGAGCGUGACGGCGCGAGCAGGUGCGAAAGCAGGUCAUAGUGAUCCGGUGGUUCUGAAUGGAAGGGCCAUCGCUCAACGGAUAAAAGGUACUCCGGGGAUAACAGGCUGAUACCGCCCAAGAGUUCAUAUCGACGGCGGUGUUUGGCACCUCGAUGUCGGCUCAUCACAUCCUGGGGCUGAAGUAGGUCCCAAGGGUAUGGCUGUUCGCCAUUUAAAGUGGUACGCGAGCUGGGUUUAGAACGUCGUGAGACAGUUCGGUCCCUAUCUGCCGUGGGCGCUGGAGAACUGAGGGGGGCUGCUCCUAGUACGAGAGGACCGGAGUGGACGCAUCACUGGUGUUCGGGUUGUCAUGCCAAUGGCACUGCCCGGUAGCUAAAUGCGGAAGAGAUAAGUGCUGAAAGCAUCUAAGCACGAAACUUGCCCCGA
This 2235-nucleotide ribosomal RNA is filed under the name Salmonella enterica subsp. enterica serovar Agama. Its description in RNAcentral is "partial 23S ribosomal RNA". It matches the Rfam family "Bacterial large subunit ribosomal RNA", at positions 583 to 2802 of the family's 2925-position model. Lineage: Bacteria; Pseudomonadati; Pseudomonadota; Gammaproteobacteria; Enterobacterales; Enterobacteriaceae. The record is from RNAcentral.